This 3336-nucleotide long non-coding RNA is filed under the name Marmota monax (woodchuck). The record is from RNAcentral. Lineage: Eukaryota; Metazoa; Chordata; Mammalia; Rodentia; Sciuridae.
CAGGGAGAAGUCACUGAUGGUAUUAGCAGUGAUAGGGCAUUAACAAAGCUGUCACAGCAAACCCAGACACAGUGGCAGAAUUAAUUUUUCCUUCAUUAAUAAGAUCCUAAUUUGCAUGAUUAAUAUGUCUCAGUCCAUGAACACAGGCAGCAUCGGAUAAAAUGCCACCUGCUGAGCAAAAAGAAUAAGACAGAGAAAUGACUUGACACAGCUGCAGGCGCAGGAGCUGCCGCGUUUCCCCCAAACAAUGCUGGAAAUGCUUGAAAUGUCGCCAUUGUUGGAACAACAGCUAGAAGAAUGCAGAGGCAAGCAUUCCGGAGGAGUCCUUGGAAAGGUGAGCUCCAGGGUAAGCACAAUGGCUGCCGUUGGGCCAGGAUUAGGACUGCCUGCUCCCUGGACUCCUUCCUCACCUCACAUGGCUUCCUGAGCUGGCCCCAGGCAAAGAGGCAGGACAUUCCAGGCCACAGUGGUGCCACCCAUCAGCCCAGACACUUCCUGCAGCUGUGAGCCUCAGCUGCUUUGGGCUGGCCAGCCUCAGGGCAGAAUCUACCAAAAGCACAAGCAACAGGGAGCCAAGGGGAGGGGAGCUGGAAACUCCUGGGAAGAGGCUGCAGACCCUCUGUGGGUGCUGGACACAGCUCCCGUCCCUGGGGAGGAAGGCACCCAUGGGUCCCAGUGCAGUGCUCAGCCGGCAACCCCGAAGGUGGGGUUUUGGGAGGCCACUGGGCAGGAGCUGCCACAGCAGAAAGCCGCGCUGCCCAUGCCACUUUGUGUGGUGAUGGGAAUGUUGCAGACCUGCAGGCACUGGUCACUUGUGGCUAUUGUGCCCUUGAGGGGCUACAUUUUUACUUCAUUGCUUUUUAAUGUAAACUGAAUGAGCCAGAGCUGGUUAGCGGCCACCAUGCCAGACAGGGUGGGAGGGAAUGCCCUGAACCCGGUUGGGAGUAAAGUGUGGGUCUCCCACUCACCUAACUGCUCCCGGGACACGCGUUCCACCCCCUCGGGCUCCAUUUCCUCAUCUGAGGCUCAGAGGGCUGGGCUUGGGGGUCCCCAGAGCCCCAUCUUAACAUCCCACCACCUGCGCUGCUCACAUUCCCUCAGUGCACUUCCCCCUGCUCCCUCGGCAGGCAGAAUCUCCCUCUCCUGCGGCCCUUGAGUUCCUCGCCCCCAUUGGCCGUGCUCCACGUCUCCACCCUAGGGACAGACCUCAGGCUCUGAGAGGGCGCGUCUGCAACCCAGAGGACACCUGGUGCCUCCCCUUUCCUCCUUGUCCCAGGCCAUUACUGUUCUUGCCUCCCCACCCUACUCAAUACUAGUAGAAGACCCCAGUGGAAUCCCUCUUUCUGGAAGCUUCCCAGAGCUGUGGCUUAUCAACACCUCCCUCUCCUCUAUUCAGAAUGAACCUCAGCCUCUGGCACAAUGCUCCUUGCCUCGGGUCAUUGCAACAACGUGGCCUGUCUCGGUAACAAACGGGGCACAGGCAGGAGGGGGGGUAGAGCCUGGGGAUUGGACAGAGGAAGUGGGCAGCUCAUUCUCGGUGCCAACCAGCAGCAUGGCCUUGGGAAGCAAUGAGCCUCUCCGGGUUCUCAGCUUCCUCCUCUGGAAUGUAAGCACAGCAAUGUCUGUCCCUGUGGUUGCCGUCCCCUCAGGAUUUUUAGUCCCCGUUAGCUUCCCUCUCACCCUCAAGGGCAGCAAAUGUGGCAGGUCUAAUCUUCAGUACCCCAACCACAUCCAGGGGUCAAACACCCGGGUAUAAAUGUAAGAGCAGGCAGCUCUCGUCUUCCUUUGACGUCCUUUCGUUUAUUUUUUCUACAUAAUCUAUAGAUGGCUUUCAGUAAUUCAGACAGUAUGUACCAGAAGGACCACAUUCAGCCAGUGCCUGAGUUCCAGAGUCGGUCAUGUGACCUGGGCUGGGAACCUGCACAGGUGGUGCAUUGAGGAAAAUGUUGAAUAGAAAGCAUUCCCUGGCUGCCUUCUCUGCAGAGUGCUCACUCCGUGAUGUGGACUAGAAGCCCUCGGCAGUUAGGUCUGUCUCCACCUGCAGCAGCUCAUCUCGAAAAUCCCACCCUCACAGCGCUGGGCCCACUGCUGUGCUGCCUGAGCCCCUCACGAGCCAACACCCAGUUUUAGUCCAGGUCUUGUGCUCCUCCUUCUGCCGGCUAAGCUCUUCUACUCGGCCAGCAACACCCAGGGGAAACACUAUACUCAGACGCAGAGAGCAGAGCGCUGGAUGCUGGGGUGGGGGGGGGGGGGGGGGGGGGGGGGGAGGCCAGGAGACUGGAAGAUGCAGGUAGGUGGGUGAUAAUGUGUGACAGGAGGACUGGAGUCAGUAGCCCCCACACUGCUUAACAACAGGGACACGCUCUGAGAAACACAUCUCUGGCAAACUCCAUUACUGUGCAAACACUGUAGAGUGUGCUGAGACAGCUCCCACACCACUGGAGGACACAACCUCCUCGUGGGAGCCCUGUCACACAUGCAGCUCAUUGUUGACUCUGAGGACCAUCAUGCCGCCCAGGACUGUAUGAUAGUGGAGAUUCGCCAAGAGAAUGCACUUUAAGAACACACACACACACACACACACACACACACAUGCACACAUGCACAUACGUAUGGGUGAUGGAGAUAUUCGUUUGCCUGACUUAUGUAUAUCAAAAUAUCAUGUAAAAUGCUUUAAAAUCAUGUUGUACACCUUAAAUACAUACAAUAAAACAAAGAAGUACUUCCACAGCCACAUGGUAAGUUAAAAUUCUCAUAUACACUGUUAUGGUUUGCAUAUGAGGUGUCCCCCAAAAGCUCAUGUGUGAAGAAAUGUAAGAAUGUCCAGAGGCGAAAUGACUAAUUAGGAGACCUGUGACCUAAUCAGUGGAUCAAUCCACUGAGCUGGAUGGUAACUGUACGCAGGUAGAUUAUGACUGGAGGAAGUAGGACACUGGGGUGUGCCUUUAGGGGGUAUAUUUUGUCCCUGGUGACCAGAUUGUGCGCUCGCUCGUUCUCUCUCUCUCUCUCUCUCUCUCUCUGUCUUCUGACUGCCGGGUCCUGGCCCGCUUUCCUCAUCCAUGCCUUUCCGCCAUGAUGUCCUGCUCCACCUUGGUCUCUGGGCAAUGGCACUUACUCUCUAUGGAGUCCUCUGGAGCCAUGAGUCAAACUUUUCCCCCUCUAAAAUUGUUCUAGUCAGGUCUUUUGGUGACAGUAGUGAAAAAGCUGACUGAAAUAAAUUGAUCCUGAGAAAUGCAACUAACUUGACCACGUGGUUCAGAAGCCUUUGUGACUAGUUUGUGGGGGGAGGAAUUUUGAAAAAAGUUUAGAGAUGGAAAAAUUUUUGUACAGAGCAAG